Molecule: long non-coding RNA, 567 nt
Organism: Gordionus sp. m RMFG-2023
Lineage: Eukaryota; Metazoa; Nematomorpha; Gordioida; Chordodea; Parachordodidae
Exons: 6
Source: RefSeq, a predicted model, not a curated record
UUUCAACAAUGAUUGAUUUAUUCCAUCUGUUACAGGGAUUAGAAGUUUAAAGGAAGAAUCUAUACCUACCAUUUUCAAUAAACCCAUUCCUCUUCAGGAUAUUACAAAUAUUCUGAAUUAUAAUAUAUUUACAAUUUCAAACUGUAGAAAAAAAAAUGAUCACACCUAUGCUGCUAAUAACUAUUCCUUAACCAAAAAGAGAAGAUAUUUCCCAAAAACAAUUGAUACCCUAAAUAAUCUUGAAGUUGGAAAUUUGGAGGAGUCAGUUAGCCAUAGAAAAUAUUUCCCAAAAACAAUUGAUAUCCUAAAUAAUCUUGAAGUUGGAAAUUUGGAGGAGCCAGUUAGCCAUAUUGAUCCUAUAUUUUCCAAUUAUCACAAUGAUCAUAUAUACAUAGCAAUUUAACAGUUUUAUCAAGGAAGAUAUACAAAACAAAAAAUCAAAUACCAACAUUCGGCAGAAGCUGACAAAAGCAAUCUUAUUUGCUGGAGAAUAGCUUAUGAUCAUUUUUAAUUUAUAUUUGAUUUUUAAAAUGAUAUUAAAUUUAUAUCGUAAAUGUAUAUAUUUAA